ACGGCUCAGUAACACGUAGGUAACCUACCCUCAGGACUGAGAUAACCCCGGGAAACUGGGGCUMAUAUUAGAUAGAUAAAAGAUACUGGAAUGUUCUUUUAUCCAAAGCUUUUGCGCCUGAGGAUGKGCCUGCGUCCGAUUAGGUCGUUGGUGGGGUAAUGGCCCMCCAAGCCUGCGAUCGGUACGGGCAGUGGAAGMUGAAGCCCGGAGUUGGGGACUGAGACAAGKCCCCAGSCCCUACGGGGCGCAGCAGGCGCGAAACCUCUGCAAUGCGGGAAACCGUGACAGGGGGAUCCCAAGUSCUCAUGCAUUGCAUGGGYUGUUCUUUGGUYUAAGUAACCAGAGGAGUAAGUGCUGGGCAAGACCGGUSCCAGCCGCCGCGGUAAUACCGGCAGCUCAAGUGGUAGCCGCGAUUAUUGGGCCUAAAACGUUSGUASCCGGAUAAGUAAGUCUUUGGUUAAAUCCUGMGACUCAACCGUGGGAAUUCUAGAGAUACUGCUCGUCUUGAGACCGGGAGAGGUUGGAGGUACUCCUAGGGUAGGGGUGAAAUCCUGUAAUCCUAGGGGGACCACCUGUGGCGAAGGCGUCCAACUGGAACGGGUCUGACGGUGAGGGACGAAACCUAGGGGAGCGAGCCGGAUUAGAUACCCGGGUAGUCCUAGGCGUAAAUGAUGCGAGUUAKGUGUGGGGGCAUYUACGAGAUGSCCCUGUGCUGUAGGGUAGCCGUUAAWCUCGCUGCCUGGGAGUACG
This 750-nucleotide ribosomal RNA is filed under the name uncultured euryarchaeote. RNAcentral's name for it is "partial 16S ribosomal RNA". It matches the Rfam family "Archaeal small subunit ribosomal RNA", at positions 85 to 839 of the family's 1478-position model. The record is from RNAcentral. Lineage: Archaea; Methanobacteriati; Methanobacteriota.